GAGCAAGUUCAUUAAAUUAGAAUGGUGCAAUCUUGCAUUGAAGGUUGGCAAUAUGAAUUAUUGGGCAAUUCUCCGUGCCUUUCGAUCUAUGCUUGUAUCGAUUGUGGCCUCGAACAAAUUGCUACAUG
Small nucleolar RNA from Amaranthus tricolor (Joseph's coat), 128 nucleotides. The record is from RefSeq and is a predicted model, not a curated record. NCBI's taxonomy places the organism in Eukaryota, Viridiplantae, Streptophyta, Magnoliopsida, Caryophyllales, Amaranthaceae.